This 253-nucleotide ribosomal RNA is filed under the name uncultured bacterium. RNAcentral describes it as "partial 16S ribosomal RNA". It matches the Rfam family "Bacterial small subunit ribosomal RNA", at positions 524 to 776 of the family's 1533-position model. The record is from RNAcentral.
UACGUAGGGCGCAAGCGUUGUCCGGAAUUAUUGGGCGUAAAGAGCUCGUAGGCGGUCUGUUGCGUCCGCUGUGAAAACCCGGGGCUUAACCCCUGGCUUGCAGUGGAUACGGACAGACUAGAGGUAGGUAGGGGAGAAUGGAAUUCCCGGUGUAGCGGUGAAAUGCGCAGAUAUCGGGAGGAACACCGGUGGCGAAGGCGGUUCUCUGGGCCGUACCUGACGCUGAGGAGCGAAAGCGUGGGGAGCGAACAGG